Molecule: microRNA, 19 nt
Filed under: Corchorus capsularis
Lineage: Eukaryota; Viridiplantae; Streptophyta; Magnoliopsida; Malvales; Malvaceae
Description: sRNA CCACVL1_02951
Source: RNAcentral
UAUUAUGUUAUAUAUUAAG